UAUCGGAGAGUUUGAUCCUGGCUCAGGACGAACGCUGGCGGCGUGCCUAAUACAUGCAAGUCGAGCGAAGAGAUGGGAGCUUGCUCCCUGAUCUUAGCGGC
Molecule: ribosomal RNA, 101 nt
Filed under: Guptibacillus hwajinpoensis
Lineage: Bacteria; Bacillati; Bacillota; Bacilli; Caryophanales; Guptibacillaceae
Description: partial 16S ribosomal RNA
Rfam family: Bacterial small subunit ribosomal RNA
Source: RNAcentral